Molecule: unclassified non-coding RNA, 97 nt
Filed under: Apore virus
Lineage: Riboviria; Orthornavirae; Negarnaviricota; Bunyaviricetes; Hareavirales; Arenaviridae
Description: intergenic region
Source: RNAcentral
ACACUCCAGUCAUCACCCACCGGUCCGGGCAAUGCCNGGACCGGUGUGGCCUCCCAGUCCGCAGCCGGCAAUUGCCGCGGACUGGGAGGGCCUCGCC